UACGUAGGUGGCAAGCGUUGCCCGGAUUCACUGGGCGUAAAGCGCGCGCAGGCGGUCUUCUACGUCUGGGGUGAAAACCCGGGGCUCAACCCCGGGACUGCCUUGGAUACGGGGAGACUUGAGGAUCGGAGAGGCAAGGGGAAUUCCACGUGUAGCGGUGAAAUGCGUAGAGAUGUGGAGGAACACCUGUGGCGAAGGCGCCUUGCUGGCCGAUUUCUGACGCUGAGGCGCGAAAGCGUGGGGAGCAAACAGG
Molecule: ribosomal RNA, 253 nt
Filed under: uncultured bacterium
Lineage: Bacteria
Description: partial 16S ribosomal RNA
Rfam family: Bacterial small subunit ribosomal RNA
Source: RNAcentral